This 299-nucleotide ribosomal RNA is filed under the name uncultured bacterium. RNAcentral describes it as "partial 16S ribosomal RNA". It matches the Rfam family "Bacterial small subunit ribosomal RNA", at positions 28 to 313 of the family's 1533-position model. The record is from RNAcentral.
GACGAACGCUGGCGGCGUGCUUAACACAUGCAAGUCGAGCGGUAAGGCCCUUUCGGGGGUACGACGAGCGGCGAACGGGUGAGUAACACGUGGGUGACCUGCCCUCCAGCUCUGGGAUAAGCCUGGGAAACCGGGUCUAAUACCGGAUAUGACUCCAUGACGCAUGUUGGUGGGGUAGGAAAGCCUUGUGCGGCUGAGGAGUCGGGCCCGGCGGCCUAUCAGUCUUUGGUUGGGGUGGGGUGANCGGUCCUACCAAGGCGACGGACGGGUAGCCGGCCUGAGAGGGCGACCGGCCACAC